Molecule: long non-coding RNA, 675 nt
Filed under: Mus spicilegus (steppe mouse)
Lineage: Eukaryota; Metazoa; Chordata; Mammalia; Rodentia; Muridae
Description: lncRNA (ENSMSIG00000007474.1)
Source: RNAcentral
CCCCGAAGACAGCAUCUUCUCCAGGGGCCUCGGGGAUGGAUUUGAUACUGAGGGGACAGAAAGUGCAUCUGUGGUCCUCAGAUCUGCAAUCCUGUGCUAAGCACAGAGUACACAUGCAUGCCACAGUGUAAGAUGAAAGGAAGAGCGAACGCCAAAGGACGAAGCCAGACUCUCAAGAGUGCCUGGAGAGCUGAGCUUUCUGCCUACAGCCCUACACCCUGGAGCCAGCUUGGUCUGAAACAUCUCCAUCCAGUCUGGCUUUUCUCAUCUCCCUGGCUCAGUCUCUCAUCCAUCUCUCUUCUUCUGUUCCCCCAGGGACUAACCUUCAUCAAACCAUCAAAACUAUGAGGAGAAGUUUGGGCAGAUCUCACAUCAUCGCGAGCAAGUGAAGGGCUGGAAACCAUUGGAGGUGAAUAGAUACCUUGGGAAAGUCCAUUCUAAGGAAGACAGAGGAGAGCACAGGACAAAACAAUGACACCAUUGCUAUCAACUGUCAUGUAUCCACUUAUCUUCUCUGUUGGAUCUUGGUGUUUCAGACUCGAAGUCAUCAUGUAUGAGUCAAAUGCCACCGGUGGUCAUCAUCAACCAAGAUUAGUUCUCCUUUUCUUAAAAUAUUUACACUAUCGCUAUUAAUUACUUAAUUAUCAUAAACCCUAUGCUUAGAAACUACCAACC